RNAcentral lists this ribosomal RNA (253 nucleotides) under uncultured bacterium. Its description in RNAcentral is "partial 16S ribosomal RNA". It matches the Rfam family "Bacterial small subunit ribosomal RNA", at positions 524 to 776 of the family's 1533-position model. The record is from RNAcentral.
UACGAAGGGGGCUAGCGUUGUUCGGAAUUACUGGGCGUAAAGGGCUCGUAGGCGGCCAACUAAGUCAGACGUGAAAUCCCUCAGCUUAACUGGGGAACUGCGUCUGAUACUGGAUGGCUUGGAUUCGGGAGAGGAAUGCGGAAUUCCAGGUGUAGCGGUGAAAUGCGUAGAUAUCUGGAGGAACACCGGUGGCGAAGGCGGCAUUCUGGACCGAUAUUGACGCUGAGGAGCGAAAGCCAGGGGAGCAAACGGG